RNAcentral lists this ribosomal RNA (503 nucleotides) under uncultured bacterium. Its description in RNAcentral is "partial 16S ribosomal RNA". It matches the Rfam family "Bacterial small subunit ribosomal RNA", at positions 29 to 523 of the family's 1533-position model. The record is from RNAcentral.
AACGAACGCUGGCGGCACGUUUUAAGCAUGCAAGUCGAAUGGCAGCAGGGGCAACUCUGUGAGAAUGGCGAACGGGUGAGUAACACGUAGGUGAUCUGCCUUGAGGAUGGGGAUAGCCUGUGGAAACACAGGGUAAUACCGAAUGAGCUGACGAGACUUUGGUUUUGUUAGUAAAGGUGCUACGUCACCGCCUUGAGAGGAGCCUGCGGCUGAUUAGCUAGUUGGUGGGGUAAGAGCUUACCAAGGCGACGAUCAGUAGCCGGCCUGAGAGGGUGAACACGCACAAUGGAACUGAGACACGGUCCAGACUCCUGCGGGAGGCAGCAGGUAAGAAUCUUCCGCAAUGGGCGAAAGCCUGACGGAGCGAUGCCGCGUGAUCGAUGAAGGUCGAGAGAUUGUAAAGAUCUUUUCUACAUGAGGAAUAAGUCUGGGAGGGAAUGCCCGGAUGAUGACGUUAGUGUAGGAAUAAGCCCCGGCUAAUUACGUGCCAGCCGCCGCCGUAA